GGUUAUUGGCUUAAGGAGCAAAUUUGUUUUGAAAACAAAUUGAAAGUGUUCAAAUCACUUAUUAACUU
Molecule: transfer RNA, 68 nt
Filed under: Cephalothrix rufifrons
Lineage: Eukaryota; Metazoa; Nemertea; Palaeonemertea; Archinemertea; Cephalotrichidae
Description: tRNA-Ser
Rfam family: tRNA
About the family: Transfer RNA (tRNA) molecules are approximately 80 nucleotides in length. Their secondary structure includes four short double-helical elements and three loops (D, anti-codon, and T loops). Further hydrogen bonds mediate the characteristic L-shaped molecular structure. tRNAs have two regions of fundamental functional importance: the anti-codon, which is responsible for specific mRNA codon recognition, and the 3' end, to which the tRNAs corresponding amino acid is attached (by aminoacyl-tRNA synthetases). tRNAs cope with the degeneracy of the genetic code in two manners: having more than one tRNA (with a specific anti-codon) for a particular amino acid; and 'wobble' base-pairing, i.e. permitting non-standard base-pairing at the 3rd anti-codon position.
Source: RNAcentral